AAAUCGAUUGCUGGGUAACUGAUUUCUCAAAGGAAUUUUGAAAUUUUUUUUGAAAGUUCCUUUGAGAAAUCGGUUACCGGUAACCGAUUU
This 90-nucleotide microRNA precursor is filed under the name Cajanus cajan (pigeon pea). RNAcentral describes it as "miRNA gene-KK1_037829". Lineage: Eukaryota; Viridiplantae; Streptophyta; Magnoliopsida; Fabales; Fabaceae. The record is from RNAcentral.